AGUGAACGCUGGCGGUAGGCCUAACACAUGCAUGUCGAACGGCAGCACAGUAAGAGCUUGCUCUUACGGGUGGCGAGUGGCGGACGGGUGAGGAAUACAUCGGAAUCUACUUUUUCGUGGGGGAUAACGUAGGGAAACUUACGCUAAUACCGCAUACGACCUACGGGUGAAAGCAGGGGAUCUUCGGACCUUGCGCGAUUGAAUGAGCCGAUGUCGGAUUAGCUAGUUGGCGGGGUAAAGGCCCACCAAGGCGACGAUCCGUAGCUGGUCUGAGAGGAUGAUCAGCCACACUGGAACUGAGACACGGUCCAGACUCCUACGGGAGGCAGCAGUGGGGAAUAUUGGACAAUGGGCGCAAGCCUGAUCCAGCCAUACCGUGUGGGUGAAGAAGGCCUUCGGGUUGUAAAGCCCUUUUGUUGGGAAAGAAAAGCAGCAGGUUAAUACCCCGCUGUUCUGACGGUACCCAAAGAAUAAGCACCGGCUAACUUCGUG
This 492-nucleotide ribosomal RNA is filed under the name uncultured bacterium. Its description in RNAcentral is "partial 16S ribosomal RNA". It matches the Rfam family "Bacterial small subunit ribosomal RNA", at positions 29 to 507 of the family's 1533-position model. The record is from RNAcentral.